GUGUUUGUAGUUCAGUGGAUAGAGCGUUUGUUUCCUACACAGAAGGUCAUGGGUUCGACCCCUAGCUGAUGCG
Spinacia oleracea (spinach) is the source of this 73-nucleotide non-coding RNA. NCBI's taxonomy places the organism in Eukaryota, Viridiplantae, Streptophyta, Magnoliopsida, Caryophyllales, Amaranthaceae. The record is from Rfam.